AAUUGAAUUCUCCGUGAAGAUGCGGAGUACCCGCGGUUAGACGGAAAGACCCCGUGCACCUUUACUACAGCUUCACACUGGCAUUAGGCCGAACAUGUGCAGGAUAGGUGGUGGGCUUUGAAACCGGAACGCUAGUUUCGGUGGAGCCUCCCUUGAGAUACCACCCUUGUUCUGCUUGAUGUCUAACCGCGGUCCGUUAUCCGGAUCCGGGACCCUGUGUGGCGGGUAGUUUGACUGGGGCGGUCGCCUCCUAAAUGGUAACGGAGGCGCGCAAUGGUGGGCUCAGGCCGGUCGGACAUCGGCUGCUGAGUGCAAUGGCAUAAGCCCGCCUGACUGCGAGA
This 341-nucleotide ribosomal RNA is filed under the name Oxyrrhis marina. RNAcentral's name for it is "partial Bacterial large subunit ribosomal RNA". It matches the Rfam family "Bacterial large subunit ribosomal RNA", at positions 2040 to 2380 of the family's 2925-position model. The record is from RNAcentral. Lineage: Eukaryota; Dinophyceae; Oxyrrhinales; Oxyrrhinaceae.